UGAUGCAGCGAUGCCGCGUGGAGGAAGAAGGUUUUCGGAUUGUAAACUCCUUUUAUCAGGGACGAUAAUGACGGUACCUGAAGAAAAAGCUCCGGCUAACUACGUGCCAGCAGCCGCGGUAAUACGUAGGGAGCGAGCGUUGUCCGGAAUUACUGGGUGUAAAGGGAGCGUAGGCGGGAUUGCAAGUCAGAUGUGAAAACUUAGGGCUCAACCUUAAGAUUGCAUUUGAAACUGUAGUUCUUGAGUGAAGUAGAGGUAAGCGGAAUUCCUAGUGUAGCGGUGAAAUGCGUAGAUAUUAGGAGGAACAUCGGUGGCGAAGGCGGCUUACUGGGCUUUUACUGACGCUGAGGCUCGAAAGCGUGGGGAGCAAACAGGAUUAGAUACCCUGGUAGUCCACGCUGUAAACGAUGAUUACUAGGUGUGGGGGGACUGACCCCUUCCGUGCCGCAGUUAACACAAUAAGUAAUCCACCUGGGGAGUACGACCGCAAGGUUGAAACUCAAAGGAAUUGACGGGGGCCCGCACAAGCAGUGGAGUAUGUGGUUUAAUUCGAAGCAACGCGAAGAACCUUACCAGGUCUUGACAUCGUAUGCAUAACCUAGAGAUAGGUGAAAUCCCUUCGGGGACAUAUAGACAGGUGGUGCAUGGUUGUCGUCAGCUCGUGUCGUGAGAUGUUGGGUUAAGUCCCGCAACGAGCGCAACCCUUACCAUUAGUUGCUACGCAAGAGCACUCUAAUGGGACUGCCGUUGACAAAACGGAGGAAGGUGGGGAUGACGUCAAAUCAUCAUGCCCCUUAUGACCUGGGCUACACACGUACUACAAUGGCAAUAGAACAGAGGGAAGCAAUACAGCGAUGUAAAGCAAAACCCGAAAAAUUGUCUCAGUUCGGAUUGCAGGCAGCAACCCGCCUGCAUGAAGUCGGAAUUGCUAGUAAU
This 936-nucleotide ribosomal RNA is filed under the name uncultured bacterium. Its description in RNAcentral is "bacterial SSU rRNA". It matches the Rfam family "Bacterial small subunit ribosomal RNA", at positions 384 to 1342 of the family's 1533-position model. The record is from RNAcentral.